RNAcentral lists this ribosomal RNA (301 nucleotides) under uncultured bacterium. RNAcentral describes it as "partial 16S ribosomal RNA". It matches the Rfam family "Bacterial small subunit ribosomal RNA", at positions 509 to 807 of the family's 1533-position model. The record is from RNAcentral.
CAGCCGCCGCGGUAAUACAGAGGGUGCGAGCGUUAAUCGGAUUUACUGGGCGUAAAGCGUGCGUAGGCGGCUUUUUAAGUCGGAUGUGAAAUCCCUGAGCUUAACUUAGGAAUUGCAUUCGAUACUGGGAAGCUAGAGUAUGGGAGAGGAUGGUAGAAUUCCAGGUGUAGCGGUGAAAUGCGUAGAGAUCUGGAGGAAUACCGAUGGCGAAGGCUGCCAUCUGGCCUAAUACUGACGCUGAGGUACGAAAGCAUGGGGAGCAAACAGGAUUAGAGACCCCCGUAGUCCCUGUCUCUUAUAC